This 72-nucleotide transfer RNA is filed under the name Candidatus Woesebacteria bacterium RIFOXYA1_FULL_43_16. Its description in RNAcentral is "tRNA-Arg". It matches the Rfam family "tRNA". From Rfam's summary of the family: Transfer RNA (tRNA) molecules are approximately 80 nucleotides in length. Their secondary structure includes four short double-helical elements and three loops (D, anti-codon, and T loops). Lineage: Bacteria; Candidatus Woeseibacteriota. RNAcentral also lists the same sequence under 3 other names. The record is from RNAcentral.
GCGCCUGUAGCUCAACGGAUAGAGUACCUGUCUUCGGAACAGGCAAUAGAGGUUCGAUUCCUCUCAGGCGCA